RNAcentral lists this ribosomal RNA (253 nucleotides) under uncultured bacterium. RNAcentral's name for it is "partial 16S ribosomal RNA". It matches the Rfam family "Bacterial small subunit ribosomal RNA", at positions 524 to 776 of the family's 1533-position model. The record is from RNAcentral.
UACGUAGGGUGCAAGCGUUGUCCGGAAUUAUUGGGCGUAAAGAGCUCGUAGGCGGUUCGUCGCGUCGGCUGUGAAAACCUGAGGCUCAACCUCAGGCCUGCAGUCGAUACGGGCGGACUUGAGUACUGCAGGGGAGACUGGAAUUCCUGGUGUAGCGGUGAAAUGCGCAGAUAUCAGGAGGAACACCGGUGGCGAAGGCGGGUCUCUGGGCAGUAACUGACGCUGAGGAGCGAAAGCGUGGGGAGCGGACAGG